RNAcentral lists this long non-coding RNA (667 nucleotides) under Drosophila guanche. Lineage: Eukaryota; Metazoa; Arthropoda; Insecta; Diptera; Drosophilidae. The record is from RNAcentral.
UAGGAAAAGGCGUGGCACAGUUGUCAAGUACACAGAUUGACUGGCAAACUUUUUCUUUCAAAAUUUUGUACACCUCCCCCAAAAUGGACAAAUUUUCGGUUCUGCUGCAGGAUGACAGGCUGUCAGUGCCCUGCCUUGGUGAUGUUUUGUCGGAAGGAGACUGCAUAGCCUGCAACAUGCAUUCAAAAAGUAAAGUACAGUAAAGGAAAGGAAGCGGAGACCCUAACAGUUUUGUGGUCUUUUCUUUCACUUUGCCGGAAUCUAUCUGGGACUUGCACCAUCUCUUUCUCUUUUGCAGACUCUCUUCCUGUGAGUCAUACUCUGGUCAUUGUCUCAUUUUGGUGGUUUAUAAAUGGAAUGGCCUUUGUUCCUGUUGCUGACAUCCGUUACGUCUUUUACUACUGCUGCUGGUGCUGAUUCGGCAGUGAGAAAGAGAAAAACAGAGAGAUGUAGGAGAUGGACAGUCCUUUCGGCCACAAUGAUAAACUGCUGCGUUCUGGUCCACUGGUGAUGUUCGGUGGCUUCGGUUCACGGACUUUUGGGACUCUAUUUUGUUCUGCUCUGAUGUUUAGUUCAUUAGUUGUAUUGCGGCUUGAGGAUUGAUCACUGGGGUUUACGUUCUCCCCCUCUUUUAAAUUUCAAUACAUAUCCAUUUUUUGGCAAGUCA